This 365-nucleotide transfer RNA is filed under the name uncultured Microcystis sp. RNAcentral describes it as "partial 16S-23S ribosomal RNA intergenic spacer". The stretch from base 136 to 209 matches the Rfam family "tRNA". The record is from RNAcentral. Lineage: Bacteria; Bacillati; Cyanobacteriota; Cyanophyceae; Chroococcales; Microcystaceae.
AAAGGGAGACCUAAUUCAGGUAGGAGACGAAAAAAAAGUAGUCCCAACCAAGAAUCAAUCCCAAAAGGUCGGAGCGAGGCAAAAUUGGCUUUCAAACUAGGUUCUGGGUUCACACAAGACCUGAAUCAGGAACAAGGGCUAUUAGCUCAGGUGGUUAGAGCGCACCCCUGAUAAGGGUGAGGUCCCUGGUUCGAGUCCAGGAUGGCCCACCUGCACAGGUGGCCAAAACAAAGAAAAAAAGCUCCGAAUCAGCACCUUAUCUUACUUAUAUAGUAAGAGAGAAUGCUGGCUCUGAGUACAGAGUCCAGAGGAACCUUGAAAACUGCAUAGAGCUAGGUGAAAAAGCCAAAAAAGAAGACCGCAAG